UGGGGAAUAUUGGACAAUGGGGGCAACCCUGAUCCAGCGAUGCCGCGUGUGCGGAGAAGGCCUGCGGGUUGUAAAGCACUUUGGUUGGGGAAGAAGGUUGGGCGUUGAAUAGAUGCCUGAAUUGACGUUACCCAAAGAACAAGCACCGGCUAACUCUGUGCCAGCAGCCGCGGUAAUACAGAGGGAGCAAGCGUUGUUCGGAUUUACUGGGCGUAAAGGGCGCGUAGGCGGCGCGGUAAGUCACUUGUGAAAUCUCUGAGCUUAACCUGGGAACUGCAUUUGUGACUGCCAGACUAGAGUGUAGCAGAGGGGGGUAGAAUUCCACGUGUAGCAGUGAAAUGCGUAGAUAUGUGGAGGAAUACCGAUGGCGAAGGCAGCCCCCUGGGCUAACACUGACGCUCAUGCACGAAAGCGUGGCGAGCAAACAGGAUUAGAUACCCCCGUAGUCCCUGAGCGGGCUGGCAAGGCGCAU
RNAcentral lists this ribosomal RNA (472 nucleotides) under uncultured bacterium. Its description in RNAcentral is "bacterial SSU rRNA". It matches the Rfam family "Bacterial small subunit ribosomal RNA", at positions 355 to 825 of the family's 1533-position model. The record is from RNAcentral.